This 253-nucleotide ribosomal RNA is filed under the name uncultured bacterium. RNAcentral's name for it is "partial 16S ribosomal RNA". It matches the Rfam family "Bacterial small subunit ribosomal RNA", at positions 524 to 776 of the family's 1533-position model. The record is from RNAcentral.
UACGUAGGGUGCGAGCGUUAAUCGGAAUUACUGGGCGUAAAGCGUGCGCAGGCGGUUUUGUAAGCCAGAUGUGAAAUCCCUGGGCUUAACCUGGGAAUGGCAUUUGGGACUGCAAGGCUCGAGUGCGGCAGAGGAGACUGGAAUUCCUGGUGUAGCAGUGAAAUGCGUAGAUAUCAGGAGGAACACCGAUGGCGAAGGCAGGUCUCUGGGCUGACACUGACGCUCAUGCACGAAAGCGUGGGGAGCGAACAGG